RNAcentral lists this ribosomal RNA (486 nucleotides) under Pantoea sp. RNAcentral's name for it is "bacterial SSU rRNA". It matches the Rfam family "Bacterial small subunit ribosomal RNA", at positions 25 to 500 of the family's 1533-position model. The record is from RNAcentral. Lineage: Bacteria; Pseudomonadati; Pseudomonadota; Gammaproteobacteria; Enterobacterales; Erwiniaceae.
CAGAUUGAACGCUGGCGGCAGGCCUAACACAUGCAAGUCGGACGGUAGCACAGAGGAGCUUGCUCCUCGGGUGACGAGUGGCGGACGGGUGAGUAAUGUCUGGGGAUCUGCCCGAUAGAGGGGGAUAACCACUGGAAACGGUGGCUAAUACCGCAUAACGUCGCAAGACCAAAGAGGGGGACCUUCGGGCCUCUCACUAUCGGAUGAACCCAGAUGGGAUUAGCUAGUAGGCGGGGUAACGGCCCACCUAGGCGACGAUCCCUAGCUGGUCUGAGAGGAUGACCAGCCACACUGGAACUGAGACACGGUCCAGACUCCUACGGGAGGCAGCAGUGGGGAAUAUUGCACAAUGGGCGCAAGCCUGAUGCAGCCAUGCCGCGUGUAUGAAGAAGGCCUUCGGGUUGUAAAGUACUUUCAGCGGGGAGGAAGGCGAUGUGGUUAAUAACCGNNNNNAUUGACGUUACCCGCAGAAGAAGCACCGGCUAA